AAAUCUCACAAAAUACUAUAUUUUGUGGACUUGGAUUUGCGAUUUUCUAGUAAAAUUUGCUCAUCUAAAAUGAAUUUCAUGAAGCUAAAUAUGCUUUGAUCUUUGCUUAAUAGUUUUGCUUUGCAAAUCUUUUUGCUCUGAUCUCUUUGCAAUAAAAAAGUGAAUUGAUUUUACGAAAUAUUUUUAAAAAUCUCAUU
Molecule: unclassified non-coding RNA, 197 nt
Filed under: uncultured Mucoromycota
Lineage: Eukaryota; Fungi; Mucoromycota
Description: sequence contains ITS2
Source: RNAcentral